This 69-nucleotide transfer RNA is filed under the name Proteus vulgaris. Its description in RNAcentral is "tRNA-OTHER". It matches the Rfam family "tRNA". Rfam says of the family: Transfer RNA (tRNA) molecules are approximately 80 nucleotides in length. Their secondary structure includes four short double-helical elements and three loops (D, anti-codon, and T loops). Further hydrogen bonds mediate the characteristic L-shaped molecular structure. tRNAs have two regions of fundamental functional importance: the anti-codon, which is responsible for specific mRNA codon recognition, and the 3' end, to which the tRNAs corresponding amino acid is attached (by aminoacyl-tRNA synthetases). tRNAs cope with the degeneracy of the genetic code in two manners: having more than one tRNA (with a specific anti-codon) for a particular amino acid; and 'wobble' base-pairing, i.e. permitting non-standard base-pairing at the 3rd anti-codon position. Lineage: Bacteria; Pseudomonadati; Pseudomonadota; Gammaproteobacteria; Enterobacterales; Morganellaceae. The record is from RNAcentral.
AUGCGUGUAGCUCAACGGUAGAGCGAGGCCAUAAAGCUGGGGUUGUGGGUUCGAAUCCCGUCACGUAAG